RNAcentral lists this non-coding RNA (115 nucleotides) under Durinskia baltica. Lineage: Eukaryota; Dinophyceae; Peridiniales; Kryptoperidiniaceae. The record is from RNAcentral.
GGUCUACCUCGAUGAAUAUGGUGACCGAAUUAAAAAGUAAGCACGCAAUUUCAAAGAAAAAGAGGAUUGGAAAAGACUAUGGAUCAACGAGUCUUCAGGUAGUGAAUUCCCCGGG